AUAUGAGGCUGAUGAACACAGAUUUGUCCUACAUAUGAUCAAAUACCAAAAAAAGUGGAUCCAAGUAUAGUUUACUCAUGUGUGAUUGGGCCUUUGUUUAAUCAGAAUAUUAUGCACAAGCGACCAAUAGUAAGGGCUAACAUUGUCCUUUAUGUCAAAUAAGUGCCCAGCCCCCUUAUUAAUAGAAUAAAGAUGCUGCAGGGUUUGAACUAAAAAGAAUUAUCCAGCUCCAACAUUGACAUCAAGUCUUUGAUUGUGUCGAAUUCCUUGAUCGAUAAUCUUUGAGCAAGUGAUGAGCUUAACGUUAAACUAAAGAAGCUAGAUGGCCAGUUCAGAGAACCAUGUUAUUGUUAAAACAAUCUAAGAUAAUGCAACCAUUUAAAGCAACACUAAAAAUCCCAAAGGCUCUAACAGCCUUUCAAAAAAGAAGAAAGAAUCAGAGGCAUGAUAUAUGCUAUUACAUUCAUAUUUGGGUCACAAUUUAUAAGUCAGAGCAACAAACUGAAAAACAUUUAUUACUAGUUUGUCAUACUGGUUGAUUGAAAAGAUAAUAGUAGAUCAGAAAAGUUAGACAGUCACUUCUAGCUUUUCCUGCAGGCUUCCCCCACCCAGUGAAGCCAUCUCAUUA
RNAcentral lists this long non-coding RNA (628 nucleotides) under Phoenix dactylifera (date palm). RNAcentral's name for it is "long non-coding RNA (PDAC_LNC020356)". Lineage: Eukaryota; Viridiplantae; Streptophyta; Magnoliopsida; Arecales; Arecaceae. The record is from RNAcentral.